AUGUACCAUGAGCAGAACUUGGGGAGGGUGAAGGACAAACAAGCCCAUGAGAAAGAGGUGGCCAAGCUACAGAAGGAAAUUGAUUUCCUGUCAAACAACUACAGCCAGUUGGUGGAAGAUGUAUCCAAGCUUUUUGACUAUCAAGACGGCAAGAUGUCUCAUGACAUGGACUUUACCAGUCAGGCAAUCAAUGAUCUAAAUGCAAAGAAGAAACAACUUGAGGAUCAAGCAAAGAUUGAGAUAAGUAUGAAAAAGAUGAAGCUUGCCAAGGAGCAAAGGUGCAUUCUUCAAAGCCAAGCAGAUAUCAUUCAGAACAUGAGGAAGGCCAUGAAGGAAGUGGAGGGGGACAGGGACCUACUUAAGAAAGAGAAGAAGAAGCUGGAGUAUCUGAUUGCUGAUCUGGUCAAUGCUGGGCAUGCCAGCAAAGAUAAGCUGGAGAGGAUCAAGGCAAUUAUGAAUGAGUGA
RNAcentral lists this ribosomal RNA (465 nucleotides) under Triticum aestivum (bread wheat). RNAcentral describes it as "partial small subunit ribosomal RNA". The record is from RNAcentral. Lineage: Eukaryota; Viridiplantae; Streptophyta; Magnoliopsida; Poales; Poaceae.